AUUGAACGCUGGCGGCAUGCUUUACACAUGCAAGUCGAACGGUAACAGGCCUUCGGGUGCUGACGAGUGGCGAACGGGUGAGUAAUGCAUCGGAACGUACCCAGAGGUGGGGGAUAACGCAGCGAAAGCUGUGCUAAUACCGCAUGUGAUCUGAGGAUGAAAGCGGGGGACCGAGCAGCAAUGUUUGGCCUCGCGCCUUUGGAGCGGCCGAUGUCGGAUUAGCUAGUUGGUGGGGUAAAGGCCUACCAAGGCGACGAUCCGUAGCUGGUCUGAGAGGACGACCAGCCACACUGGGACUGAGACACGGCCCAGACUCCUACGGGAGGCAGCAGUGGGGAAUUUUGGACAAUGGGCGCAAGCCUGAUCCAGCAAUGCCGCGUGCGGGAAGAAGGCCUUCGGGUUGUAAACCGCUUUUGGCAGGAACGAAACGGUGUCCGCUAAUACCGGGCGCUAAUGACGGUACCUGCAGAAUAAACACCGGCUAACUACGUG
Molecule: ribosomal RNA, 492 nt
Filed under: uncultured bacterium
Lineage: Bacteria
Description: partial 16S ribosomal RNA
Rfam family: Bacterial small subunit ribosomal RNA
Source: RNAcentral